Molecule: long non-coding RNA, 532 nt
Filed under: Olea europaea subsp. europaea
Lineage: Eukaryota; Viridiplantae; Streptophyta; Magnoliopsida; Lamiales; Oleaceae
Source: RNAcentral
UACUCAUAUUCUCAACAAGCAACCAAAGUAAGUUUUAUAUAUUGCAAUAUGUACAUACAUUCCAUUUUCCCUACAGCGACGUAAAACAGAAUUUCCCAGGCUCGUGAGACAGAUAACAAGUUACACCAUCAGCGAGAAACAAAAUAUCAUGGAAAGCUUUCGAUGGAAUUAUUCACUAAUGACAACAGAAGAGGCCGAGAUUUGAUUUGAGAUCUAUCCACACUUCAUGUUUGCAUCAGAUCAUCAUUGAUAAAUGAAACCAUUAUUACAAAAAUUUUUGCAAUUCAAAUUAAUUUAUUGUUACCUCAAACAGUAUUAGAAAAUCAAUUUCUUGAGCCAGCAAGUUUUCCCUGGAGAGCAAAAUCAAUGUACAAAACCAAGGUGAAAUAGACAUUAACAUCAGCAUGCAGCGGAAAAUAUUCCAAUGUAUCAACAUUGAAUGAUACAUAAAACCCAAGUUACGAAGCUCGAAAAAUGGGUUUGUCUACUUCAAAAGCAAACACUACAGUGUGCAUUCGGUCUAAGAGAUGCG